AGUGAACGCUGGCGGUAGGCCUAACACAUGCAAGUCGAACGGCAGCACAGUAAGAGCUUGCUCUUACGGGUGGCGAGUGGCGGACGGGUGAGGAAUACAUCGGAAUCUACUUUUUCGUGGGGGAUAACGUAGGGAAACUUACGCUAAUACCGCAUACGACCUACGGGGGAAAGCAGGGGAUCUUCGGACCUUGCGCGAUUGAAUGAGCCGAUGUCGGAUUAGCUAGUUGACGGGGUAAAGGCCCACCAAGGCGACGAUCCGUAGCUGGUCUGAGAGGAUGAUCAGCCACACGGGAACUGAGACACGGUCCAGACUCCUACGGGAGGCAGCAGUGGGGAAUAUUGGACAAUGGGCGCAAGCCUGAUCCAGCCAUACCGCGUGGGUGAAGAAGGCCUUCGGGUUGUAAAGCCCUUUUGUUGGGAAAGAAAAGCAGCAGGUUAAUACCCCGCUGUUCUGACGGUACCCAAAGAAUAAGCACCGGCUAACUUCGUG
Molecule: ribosomal RNA, 492 nt
Filed under: uncultured bacterium
Lineage: Bacteria
Description: partial 16S ribosomal RNA
Rfam family: Bacterial small subunit ribosomal RNA
Source: RNAcentral